ACGUAGGGUGCAAGCGUUGUCCGGAAUUAUUGGGCGUAAAGAGCUCGUAGGCGGUCUGUCGCGUCUGGUGUGAAAAUCCAGGGCUUAACCCUGGACCUGCAUCGGGUACGGGCAGACUAGAGUGCGGUAGGGGAGAUCGGAAUUCCUGGUGUAGCGGUGAAAUGCGCAGAUAUCAGGAGGAACACCGGUGGCGAAGGCGGCGCUCUGGACCACAACUGACGCUGAGGCGCGAAAGCUAGGGGAGCAAACGGGA
RNAcentral lists this ribosomal RNA (253 nucleotides) under uncultured prokaryote. RNAcentral's name for it is "partial 16S ribosomal RNA". It matches the Rfam family "Bacterial small subunit ribosomal RNA", at positions 525 to 777 of the family's 1533-position model. The record is from RNAcentral.